This 375-nucleotide ribosomal RNA is filed under the name uncultured organism. RNAcentral's name for it is "partial 16S ribosomal RNA". It matches the Rfam family "Bacterial small subunit ribosomal RNA", at positions 527 to 896 of the family's 1533-position model. The record is from RNAcentral.
GUAGGGGGCAAGCGUUGUCCGGAUUUAUUGGGCGUAAAGAGCUCGUAGGCGGCUUAGCAAGCCGGUCGUGAAAUACCGAGGCUCAACCUCGGAACGCCGGUCGAAACUGCUAUGGCUAGGGUCCGGUAGAGGAGAGUGGAAUUCCCGGUGUAGCGGUGAAAUGCGCAGAUAUCGGGAGGAACACCAGUAGCGAAGGCGGCUCUCUGGGCCGGUACCGACGCUGAGGAGCGAAAGCGUGGGGAGCAAACAGGAUUAGAUACCCUGGUAGUCCACGCCGUAAACGAUGGGCACUAGGUGUGGCAAGUUCAUCAACGCUUGCCGUGCCGUAGCUAACGCAUUAAGUGCCCCCGCCUGGGGAGUACGGUCGCAAGGCUA